This 337-nucleotide unclassified non-coding RNA is filed under the name soil metagenome. Its description in RNAcentral is "partial contains 5.8S ribosomal RNA, internal transcribed spacer 2, and large subunit ribosomal RNA". The stretch from base 1 to 120 matches the Rfam family "5.8S ribosomal RNA", at positions 35 to 154 of the family's 154-position model. The record is from RNAcentral.
GAUGAAGAACGCAGUGAAAUGCGAUAAGUAAUGUGAAUUGCAGAAUUCAGUGAAUCAUCGAAUCUUUGAACGCACAUUGCGCCCCUUGGUAUUCCGAGGGGCAUGCCUGUUCGAGCGUCAUUUCAACCCCUCAAGCUUAGCUUGGUGUUGGGCUGCGCCAGCGUUGCUGGCGGGCCUUAAAAUCAGUGGCGGUGCCGUUUGGGCUCCAAGCGUAGUAGCAUCUCUCGCUCUGGAGACCCGGCGGUUGCUUGCCAGACAAUCACUAAAAAAACAAAAGGUUUGACCUCGGAUCAGGUAGGGAUACCCGCUGAACUUAAGCAUAUCAAUAAGCGGAGGA